This is a non-coding RNA of Oryctolagus cuniculus (rabbit), 867 nucleotides long. The record is from RefSeq and is a predicted model, not a curated record. NCBI's taxonomy places the organism in Eukaryota, Metazoa, Chordata, Mammalia, Lagomorpha, Leporidae.
AACACUACUAGUCGAACAAUACCCUAUACCUUGUGCAGUUGUGUGAGUGCAGCCUGUUGAAAUCCUUGCUUAGUAUAUACUAAGUUGAUCUUCAGUAUAUGAAGGCUGUGAUCCGGACUCCAUUUCAGAAGAUGAAUUCGGCCUUGGGGUACGGGAUGGACUGAGAAGAAAGAAAACAGAGGGCGAGGAACCUGAUGUGGACGUUGCUGCGGGACCUCAGAGCAGAAAGGAUGAGGUCUUGUUGAACCAGGACAGCAGCAGUGGGGAUCAAAAACGUAGAGGUGGUGCGAAAGAUGCUAUGAAGGUAGGAUCUGCGGGUCUUGCUAUCGAGUUGGAUGCGGGAGGUAGAUUAAGGAUGAGUCGGUGAUGACCAAGCGGAGCUAACAUGAAGGGCUGUGCGAAGCACCUUGCACGAAGUAACUCAUUUGAUCCUCCUUAUGACUCCACGAAGUAGUUACCAUGGGUGUCCCCAUUUUACAGGUGAGAAAACUGAUGCGCAGAGGUGAUACAACUUCUCCAAGGUUGCAUGGCUGAUAGGAGGAGUCAGAAUUUCCACCAAGUCUUGGAAGUCUUCUGACACUGCUGGCCAUGCUGUUCUCCUCAGUGCUACUUCCAGGCCUCUCACUGCCAAGUUCCCCAGCUGGAAUGACUUCUGCUGUCUGCCCAUUCGAUAAAGACUGAAUGAGUUUCUGCCGAUUGAAUUGCCCUCUGGUCCUGACUCAGAGAAGCAAAGGGAAGGUAAUCACAGUUCUGAAAACAAAUCCAUUUUAAUCACUGAAUCAAUGUGGGUAGUGAUUUGAAAACAUAGUACAACACUCUACCGUUGAAGUCAUACCCAAUUAAAAAAGAUUCCAUAUUGGUUGUUGA